Molecule: ribosomal RNA, 409 nt
Filed under: Fusobacteriota bacterium
Lineage: Bacteria; Fusobacteriati; Fusobacteriota
Description: Fusobacteria bacterium partial 16S ribosomal RNA
Rfam family: Bacterial small subunit ribosomal RNA
Source: RNAcentral
UGGGGAAUAUUGCACAAUGGAGGGAACUCUGAUGCAGCAACGCCGCGUGCGGGAUGACGGCCUUCGGGUUGUAAACCGCUUUCAGCCAUGACGAAGCUUUUGUGACGGUAGUGGUAGAAGAAGCACCGGCUAACUACGUGCCAGCAGCCGCGGUGAUACGUAGGGUGCGAGCGUUGUCCGGAAUUAUUGGGCGUAAAGAGCUUGUAGGCGGUUUGUCGCGUCGAUAGUGUAAACACGCAGCUUAACUGUGUGCCUGCUGUCGAUACGGGCUGACUAGAGGAGGGUAGGGGAGAAUGGAAUUCCCGGUGGGGCGGUGGAAUGCGCAGAUAUCGGGAGGAACACCAGUGGCGAAGGCGGUUCUCUGGACCUUUCCUGACGCUGAGAAGCGAAAGCGUGGGUAGCAAACAGG